This 1207-nucleotide long non-coding RNA is filed under the name Coturnix japonica (Japanese quail). RNAcentral's name for it is "lncRNA (ENSCJPG00005005877.1)". Lineage: Eukaryota; Metazoa; Chordata; Aves; Galliformes; Phasianidae. The record is from RNAcentral.
CUCUAUGGGUCCGCUAUUGGGGUGCUAUGGUCUCUAUGGGGUGGGUAUGGGGUACUGUGUAGGUUGUCCUAUGGGUGCCAUGGGUGUCCUAUGUCGGUUAUGGGUCUCUACGGGGCACUAUGGGGUGUCUAUGGGGUGGUUAUGGGGUUGCUAUGGGGUCUCUAUGGGGCGCUAUGGGGUGGUUAUGGGGCGCUAUGGGGUGGUUAUGGGUGGUUAUGCGGUCACUAUGGGGCGUAUCAGGGGUGGUUAUGGGGCAGUAUGGUGUGGUUAUGGGGCGCUAUGGGGUCGCUAUGGGGCGCUAUGGGGUGCUAUUGGGCGUCUAUAGGGUGUCUAUGGGUUACUAUGGGUCGCUAUGGGGCCGCUAUGGGUGUCUAUGGGUCACUAUGGGGUGUCUAUAGGGUGUCUAUAGGGUCUCUAUGGUCGCUAUGGGUGCCUAGUGGGUCUCUAUGGGGUGGGUAUGGGGUACUAUGUGGUGUCUAUGGGUCGCUAUGGGGUGGUUAUGGGUCGCCAUGGGGUGUCUAUGGGUCACUAUGGGGUCUCUAUGGGGCGCUAUGGGGUGGUUAUGGGGCGCUAUGGGGUGGUUAUGGGGUGGUUAUGGGGCGCUAUGGGGCUCUAUGGGUCUCUAUGGAGCUAUAUGGGUGGUUAUGGGGUGGUUAUGGGGUGGCUAUGGGGUCUCUAUGGGGUGGCUAUGGGGUGUCUAUGGGUCACUAUGGGGCUAUACGGGUCGCUAUGGGUCUCUAUGGGGUGUCUAUAGGUCGCUAUGGGGUGCUAUGGGGCUAUAUGGGUCACUAUGGGUGUCUAUGGGGUGUCUAUGGGUCUGUAUGGGGCACUAUGGUGUGUCAAUGGGGCACUAGGAGGCGCUAUGGGGCUCUAUGGGUCUCUAUGGGGCAAUAUGGGUGUUUAUGGGGUGGUUAUGGGGUCUCUAUGGGGUGGCUAUAGGAUCUCUACAGGGUGGCUAUAGGGUCUCUAUGGGAUCUCUAUGGGGUGACCUGGUGCUCUCCAUCUCUCUAUGAGCGCACUAUGGGGUGUCUAUGGGGCUCUAUGGGGUUCUAUGGGUUACUAUGGGGCGCUAUGGGUCUCUAUGGGUCCCUAUGGGUCUCUAUAGGGUGUCUAUGGGGUGGUUAUGGGGUCUCUAUGGGUCUCUAUGGGGUGGUUAUGGGGUGUCUAUAGGGUGUCCAUGGGGUGGUUAUGGGGUCUCUAUGGGUCU